AGAGUUUGAUCAUGGCUCAGAGUGAACGCUGGCGGCAGGCCUAAUACAUGCAAGUCGAACGGCAGCACAGCAGAGCUUGCUCUGUGGGUGGCGAGUGGCGGACGGGUGAGGAAUACGUGGGAAUCUGCCCAGUCGUGGGGGAUAACGUAGGGAAACUUACGCUAAUACCGCAUGCGCCCUUCGGGGGAAGCCGGGGACCUUCGGGCCUGGCGCGAUUGGAUGAGCCCACGUCGGAUUAGCUAGUUGGCGGGGUAAAGGCCCACCAAGGCGACGAUCCGUAGCUGGUCUGAGAGGAUGAUCAGCCACACUGGAACUGAGACACGGUCCAGACUCCUACGGGAGGCAGCAGUAGGGAAUAUUGGACAAUGGGCGCAAGCCUGAUCCAGCCAUGCCGCGUGAGUGAAGAAGGCCCUCGGGUUGUAAAGCUCUUUUGUCCGGAAAGAAAAGCGCCGGGUUAAUACCCUGGUGUCCUGACGGUACCGGAAGAAUAAGCACCGGCUAACUUCGUG
Molecule: ribosomal RNA, 509 nt
Filed under: uncultured bacterium
Lineage: Bacteria
Description: bacterial SSU rRNA
Rfam family: Bacterial small subunit ribosomal RNA
Source: RNAcentral